Molecule: ribosomal RNA, 251 nt
Filed under: uncultured bacterium
Lineage: Bacteria
Description: partial 16S ribosomal RNA
Rfam family: Bacterial small subunit ribosomal RNA
Source: RNAcentral
CGUAGGCGCAAGCGUUAUCCGGAAUUAUUGGGCGUAAGAGCUUGUAGGCGGUUCGUCGCGUCUGGUGUGAAAGCCCAUCGCUUAACGGUGGGUCUGCGCCGGGUACGGGCGGGCUAGAGUGCAGUAGGGAGACUGGAAUUCCCGGUGUAACGGUGGAAUGUGUAGAUAUCGGGAAGAACACCAAUGGCGAAGGCAGGUCUCUGGGCUGUUACUGACGCUGAGAAGCGAAAGCGUGGGGAGCGAACAGGAUU